RNAcentral lists this ribosomal RNA (472 nucleotides) under uncultured soil bacterium. RNAcentral describes it as "bacterial SSU rRNA". It matches the Rfam family "Bacterial small subunit ribosomal RNA", at positions 26 to 518 of the family's 1533-position model. The record is from RNAcentral.
AGAACGAACGCUGGCGGCAUGCCUAACACAUGCAAGUCGAACGAGACCUUCGGGUCUAGUGGCGCACGGGUGCGUAACGCGUGGGAAUCUGCCCUUGGGUUCGGGAUAACAGUUGGAAACGACUGCUAAUACCGGAUGAUGACUUCGGUCCAAAGAUUUAUUGCCCAGGGAUGAGCCCGCGUAGGAUUAGCUAGUUGGUGGGGUAAAGGCCCACCAAGGCGACGAUCCGUAGCUGGUCUGAGAGGAUGAUCAGCCACACUGGAACUGAGACACGGUCCAGACUCCUACGGGAGGCAGCAGUGGGGAAUUUUGGACAAUGGGGGCAACCCUGAUCCAGCCAUUCCGCGUGAGUGAAGAAGGCCUUCGGGUUGUAAAGCUCUUUCGGACGGAACGAAACGGUUAGACGUAAAUAACGCUGACUAAUGACGGUACCGUAAGAAGAAGCACCGGCUAACUACGUGCCAGCAGCCGC